AUGAGCAAAGCUCACCCUCCCGAGUUGAAAAAAUCUAUGGACAAGAAGUUGUCAUUGAAAUUAAAUGGUGGCAGACAUGUCCAAGGAAUAUUGUGGUCAUUUGGUCCCUUUAUGAAUCUUGUGAUAGAUGAAUGUGUGGAGAUGGCGACUGGUGGGCAACAGAACAAUAUUGGAAUGGUGGUAAUAGGAAAUAGUAUCAUCAUGUUAGAAGCCUUGGAACGAGUA
Molecule: long non-coding RNA, 225 nt
Filed under: Homo sapiens (human)
Lineage: Eukaryota; Metazoa; Chordata; Mammalia; Primates; Hominidae
Description: non-protein coding lnc-SOWAHC-4:1
Source: RNAcentral